RNAcentral lists this ribosomal RNA (253 nucleotides) under uncultured bacterium. Its description in RNAcentral is "partial 16S ribosomal RNA". It matches the Rfam family "Bacterial small subunit ribosomal RNA", at positions 524 to 776 of the family's 1533-position model. The record is from RNAcentral.
UACGAAGGGGGCUAGCGUUGCUCGGAAUCACUGGGCGUAAAGGGUGCGUAGGCGGGUCUCUAAGUCAGGGGUGAAAUCCUGGAGCUCAACUCCAGAACUGCCUUUGAUACUGAAGAUCUUGAGUUCGGGAGAGGUGAGUGGAACUGCGAGUGUAGAGGUGAAAUUCGUAGAUAUUCGCAAGAACACCAGUGGCGAAGGCGGCUCACUGGCCCGAUACUGACGCUGAGGCACGAAAGCGUGGGGAGCAAACAGG